Molecule: long non-coding RNA, 306 nt
Filed under: Brassica rapa (field mustard)
Lineage: Eukaryota; Viridiplantae; Streptophyta; Magnoliopsida; Brassicales; Brassicaceae
Description: long non-coding RNA (BRAP_LNC001767)
Source: RNAcentral
UGUCAUUUUACCUAUUAAAUGAAAUAUUUUUAUCAUUUUCCUCAUUGUGAUAUAUUUUUGUGACCAAAACUUGAAAAUUGUCUAUUUAUGAGAAUCAUUCUAAAUUUAAAUGGAAUAAAAGGAAAAAAUAACACAAAAUGCUAAUUUGUAGAAGUUAUACCUCUAGUUCAUACACAUAAACUUACUACAAUUCUAUUAUUUAUCCGUCAUUUUCUACUUUUAAUAUUUCCAGUAUCUUAAAAAAGAUUUUGGAGUUAUUGGAACGAAUAUAAUAGAAAAAUAUUCAUAGUUACAAGUGGCUUCUAA